This 301-nucleotide ribosomal RNA is filed under the name uncultured bacterium. RNAcentral describes it as "partial 16S ribosomal RNA". It matches the Rfam family "Bacterial small subunit ribosomal RNA", at positions 509 to 807 of the family's 1533-position model. The record is from RNAcentral.
CAGUCGCCGCGGUAAUACGUAGGGUGCAAGCGUUAAUCGGAAUUACUGGGUGUAAAGGGAGCGCAGGCGGUGCGGCAAGUCUGAUGUGAAAGCCCGGGGCUCAACCCCGGGACUGCAUUGGAAACUGUCGUACUUGAGUAUCGGAGAGGUAAGUGGAAUUCCUAGUGUAGCGGUGAAAUGCGUAGAUAUUAGGAGGAACACCAGUGGCGAAGGCGGCUUACUGGACGAUAACUGACGCUGAGGCUCGAAAGCGUGGGGAGCAAACAGGAUUAGAUACCCGAGUAGUCCCUGUCUCUUAUAC